GACGAACGCUGGCGGCGUGCCUAAUACAUGCAAGUAGAACGCUGAAGCGAGGAGCUUCCUCUUCUUGGAUGAGUUGCGAACGGGUGAGUAACGCGUAGGUAACCUGCCUUGUAGCGGGGGAUAACUAUUGGAAACGAUAGCUAAUACCGCAUAACAAUGGAUGACACAUGUCAUUUAUUUGAAAGGGGCAAUUGCUCCACUACAAGAUGGACCUGCGUUGUAUUAGCUAGUAGGUGAGGUAAUGGCUCACCUAGGCGACGAUACAUAGCCGACCUGAGAGGGUGAUCGGCCACACUGGGACUGAGACACGGCCCAGACUCCUACGGGAGGCAGCAGUAGGGAAUCUUCGGCAAUGGGGGCAACCCUGACCGAGCAACGCCGCGUGAGGGAAGAAGGGUUUCGGAUCGUAAAGCUCGGUUGUAAGUCAAGAAAGGGGGUGAGAGUGGAAAGUUCACACUGUGACGGUAGCUUAACAGAAAGGGACGGCUAACUACGUG
RNAcentral lists this ribosomal RNA (497 nucleotides) under uncultured bacterium. Its description in RNAcentral is "partial 16S ribosomal RNA". It matches the Rfam family "Bacterial small subunit ribosomal RNA", at positions 28 to 507 of the family's 1533-position model. The record is from RNAcentral.